Molecule: ribosomal RNA, 253 nt
Filed under: uncultured bacterium
Lineage: Bacteria
Description: partial 16S ribosomal RNA
Rfam family: Bacterial small subunit ribosomal RNA
Source: RNAcentral
UACGGAGGUCCCAAGCGUUGUUCGGAAUUACUGGGCGUAAAGGGAGCGCAGGCGGACAGGUCAGUCUGAAGUGGAAAUCCGGGGCUCAACCUCGGACUUGCUUCGGAUACUGCCUGUCUUGAGUUCGUGAGAGGAAGAUGGAAUUCAGGGUGUAGCGGUGAAAUGCUCAGAUAUCCUGAGGAACACCGGUGGCGAAAGCGGUCUUCUGGCGCGAAACUGACGCUGAGGCUCGAAAGCGUGGGGAGCAAACGGG